RNAcentral lists this ribosomal RNA (2319 nucleotides) under Salmonella enterica subsp. enterica serovar Typhimurium. RNAcentral's name for it is "bacterial LSU rRNA". It matches the Rfam family "Bacterial large subunit ribosomal RNA", at positions 594 to 2812 of the family's 2925-position model. The record is from RNAcentral. Lineage: Bacteria; Pseudomonadati; Pseudomonadota; Gammaproteobacteria; Enterobacterales; Enterobacteriaceae.
UGACUGCGUACCUUUUGUAUAAUGGGUCAGCGACUUAUAUUCUGUAGCAAGGUUAACCGUAUAGGGGAGCCGUAGGGAAACCGAGUCUUAACCGGGCGUUAAGUUGCAGGGUAUAGACCCGAAACCCGGUGAUCUAGCCAUGGGCAGGUUGAAGGUUGGGUAACACUAACUGGAGGACCGAACCGACUAAUGUUGAAAAAUUAGCGGAUGACCUGUGGCUGGGGGUGAAAGGCCAAUCAAACCGGGAGAUAGCUGGUUCUCCCCGAAAGCUAUUUAGGUAGCGCCUCGUGAAUUCAUCUCCGGGGGUAGAGCACUGUUUCGGCUAGGGGGCCAUCCCGGCUUACCAACCCGAUGCAAACUGCGAAUACCGGAGAAUGUUAUCACGGGAGACACACGGCGGGUGCUAACGUCCGUCGUGAAGAGGGAAACAACCCAGACCGCCAGCUAAGGUCCCAAAGUCAUGGUUAAGUGGGAAACGAUGUGGGAAGGCCCAGACAGCCAGGAUGUUGGCUUAGAAGCAGCCAUCAUUUAAAGAAAGCGUAAUAGCUCACUGGUCGAGUCGGCCUGCGCGGAAGAUGUAACGGGGCUAAACCAUGCACCGAAGCUGCGGCAGCGAACGUAUCACCCAAGACAACUUUACGGAGUUGACGAUUGACGGAGCGAAGCGACGUCAAAGCGUUCAUUAAAGUCGAGUUGGCUUAGGGAUACGUUCGUUGGGUAGGGGAGCGUUCUGUAAGCCUGUGAAGGUGUGUCGUGAGGCAUGCUGGAGGUAUCAGAAGUGCGAAUGCUGACAUAAGUAACGAUAAAGCGGGUGAAAAGCCCGCUCGCCGGAAGACCAAGGGUUCCUGUCCAACGUUAAUCGGGGCAGGGUGAGUCGACCCCUAAGGCGAGGCCGAAAGGCGUAGUCGAUGGGAAACGGGUUAAUAUUCCCGUACUUGGUGUUACUGCGAAGGGGGGACGGAGAAGGCUAUGUUGGCCGGGCGACGGUUGUCCCGGUUUAAGCGUGUAGGUGUGUGUUCCAGGUAAAUCCGGUUCACUUUAACACUGAGGCGUGACGACGAGGCACUACGGUGCUGAAGCAACAAAUGCCCUGCUUCCAGGAAAAGCCUCUAAGCAUCAGGUAACACGAAAUCGUACCCCAAACCGACACAGGUGGUCAGGUAGAGAAUACCAAGGCGCUUGAGAGAACUCGGGUGAAGGAACUAGGCAAAAUGGUGCCGUAACUUCGGGAGAAGGCACGCUGACACGUAGGUGAAGUGAUUUACUCAUGGAGCUGAAGUCAGUCGAAGAUACCAGCUGGCUGCAACUGUUUAUUAAAAACACAGCACUGUGCAAACACGAAAGUGGACGUAUACGGUGUGACGCCUGCCCGGUGCCGGAAGGUUAAUUGAUGGGGUCAGCGCAAGCGAAGCUCCUGAUCGAAGCCCCGGUAAACGGCGGCCGUAACUAUAACGGUCCUAAGGUAGCGAAAUUCCUUGUCGGGUAAGUUCCGACCUGCACGAAUGGCGUAAUGAUGGCCAGGCUGUCUCCACCCGAGACUCAGUGAAAUUGAACUCGCUGUGAAGAUGCAGUGUACCCGCGGCAAGACGGAAAGACCCCGUGAACCUUUACUAUAGCUUGACACUGAACAUUGAGCCUUGAUGUGUAGGAUAGGUGGGAGGCUUUGAAGUGUGGACGCCAGUCUGCAUGGAGCCGACCUUGAAAUACCACCCUUUAAUGUUUGAUGUUCUAACGUGGACCCGUAAUCCGGGUUGCGGACAGUGUCUGGUGGGUAGUUUGACUGGGGCGGUCUCCUCCUAAAGAGUAACGGAGGAGCACGAAGGUUGGCUAAUCCUGGUCGGACAUCAGGAGGUUAGUGCAAUGGCAUAAGCCAGCUUGACUGCGAGCGUGACGGCGCGAGCAGGUGCGAAAGCAGGUCAUAGUGAUCCGGUGGUUCUGAAUGGAAGGGCCAUCGCUCAACGGAUAAAAGGUACUCCGGGGAUAACAGGCUGAUACCGCCCAAGAGUUCAUAUCGACGGCGGUGUUUGGCACCUCGAUGUCGGCUCAUCACAUCCUGGGGCUGAAGUAGGUCCCAAGGGUAUGGCUGUUCGCCAUUUAAAGUGGUACGCGAGCUGGGUUUAGAACGUCGUGAGACAGUUCGGUCCCUAUCUGCCGUGGGCGCUGGAGAACUGAGGGGGGCUGCUCCUAGUACGAGAGGACCGGAGUGGACGCAUCACUGGUGUUCGGGUUGUCAUGCCAAUGGCACUGCCCGGUAGCUAAAUGCGGAAGAGAUAAGUGCUGAAAGCAUCUAAGCACGAAACUUGCCCCGAGAUGAGUUCU